This is a long non-coding RNA of Astatotilapia calliptera (eastern happy), 1279 nucleotides long. Lineage: Eukaryota; Metazoa; Chordata; Actinopteri; Cichliformes; Cichlidae. The record is from Ensembl.
GAAUGUCUUGUCUUCGUUUUAAAGUUUGAAUGGUGGCUCUAUGUCAAUGUAUGUGGAAGUAGAUACAGUUUAAAGAGGAGGAAUUUGAAUGAGAAUUUGAAGGGUCUCUCCAUUGAAAUACAUUAUAAAUUUUUGUUAAAUAAAGUUGAAUAAAAUUAAAAAUAUAAAUGUUAGAAAUGAGAAAAAUAGAAGCAGUCAUGUCCAAAAGAAUAGGAAUCUAACGGUGUUUGAAUGGUUUUUCUAAGUUGAACGGUUUUGAAGGAGAUAGAUUACAAAAAACGUACGGAAUACAGAAUAAUAAAUAAAAUAGAACUAGAAAGUGCAUUUUCUGAAGAAACUGCAGUGUGAAUGCUUGAAUCUGAAUGUAUGCACUGAAAUGAAUUAAUUGCUGAAUUUUGAGUUAAAAAUAUUGAAUGAGAUUAAAAAAAAACAAAAAAAAAAACCGAAUUUAACCUGAAAACAAAGGUGCUGAACUGCUAAAAGCUGAAGGUUACACAGAAGAAGGAGUUGGAAAAAAACUGAAAAUGUUUUAAAUGUAAAUUAGAAAACCCUAAGAAAUGAGAAAAGAACAUUUAGAGUCAGAAAACAUCUGAAUGAAUAUUAAAAGGUCAUAUUCUUUGAAUCACUGAAUGACUCAAAUGUGAUCCCUCCACUUUGAUCCACAAAGUUUAAAAAGUUUAAAUGCCUGAGCUUUGAAAGAUACGGUGUUGGAAAGAGAACAAUAAUGGCGACAAUUUGAGGGUAAAAUGAUGGCUGUAACACUGUGGACAUAGCAGCAGUUGAAAGAGAAGUGCUUAAGAUGAAUCUUGGUACAGUGGCAGGCAGAGCUCGUUAAGCAGGCAGGUGUGAGCCUGGUUGCUAUAGUGACCGCACCCAAUGGCUCCAUACACACGUACACAGACAUGCGCCUCACUUUUGCUGCUUAAAAUGAACAGAAAAGUCAGGCCGAAACAAAUCGUUCCCAAAUGAAAAGUAAAAGUCGUAUUGACAAAAUUCUUUCACCGUGACGGCAGCAAUGUCCAGUCUACCAAAUUCUCAGUUUUCAUGCCUGUGGAGUUUAUUAUAUGGACGUGGUGACAGUGUAAAGACACCAUGCUCUUCUGAUUUUCAAACGAACCUUCUGAGCCAUUUUAACAUUAGAGUCUAUGGAAGAGUUGGAGGGAGGAGGCUGUGCAUUGGUGACAUUUAUGAAAGAACCAUAACACCUAGUACAAUAGUAAACACAUUGGAUGAAAGAGGACAGCGAUGGCUACGUUUUGAGGGUAAAAUCAUACCUGUA